CGGGGCGUAGUACAGCCUGGUAGUACGCCUGCUUUGGGAGCAGGAGGCCGGAGGUUCGAAUCCUCUCGCCCCGACCA
Molecule: transfer RNA, 77 nt
Filed under: Acetobacteraceae bacterium
Lineage: Bacteria; Pseudomonadati; Pseudomonadota; Alphaproteobacteria; Acetobacterales; Acetobacteraceae
Also listed under: 1 other name
Description: tRNA-Pro
Rfam family: tRNA
About the family: Transfer RNA (tRNA) molecules are approximately 80 nucleotides in length. Their secondary structure includes four short double-helical elements and three loops (D, anti-codon, and T loops). Further hydrogen bonds mediate the characteristic L-shaped molecular structure. tRNAs have two regions of fundamental functional importance: the anti-codon, which is responsible for specific mRNA codon recognition, and the 3' end, to which the tRNAs corresponding amino acid is attached (by aminoacyl-tRNA synthetases). tRNAs cope with the degeneracy of the genetic code in two manners: having more than one tRNA (with a specific anti-codon) for a particular amino acid; and 'wobble' base-pairing, i.e. permitting non-standard base-pairing at the 3rd anti-codon position.
Source: RNAcentral